AGGCUGAUGGCGACCGGCGCACGGGUGAGUAACACGUAUCCAACCUGCCGUCUACUCUUGGCCAGCCUUCUGAAAGGAAGAUUAAUCCAGGAUGGGAUCAUGAGUUCACAUGUCCGCAUGAUUAAAGGUAUUUUCCGGUAGACGAUGGGGAUGCGUUCCAUUAGAUAGUAGGCGGGGUAACGGCCCACCUAGUCAACGAUGGAUAGGGGUUCUGAGAGGAAGGUCCCCCACAUUGGAACUGAGACACGGUCCAAACUCCUACGGGAGGCAGCAGUGAGGAAUAUUGGUCAAUGGGCGAUGGCCUGAACCAGCCAAGUAGCGUGAAGGAUGACUGCCCUAUGGGUUGUAAACUCCUUUUAUAAAGGAAUAAAGUCGGGUAUGCAUACCCGUUUGCAUGUACUUUAUGAAUAAGGAUCGGCUAACUCCGUGCCAGCAGCCGCGGUAAUACGGAGGAUCCGAGCGUUAUCCGGAUUUAUUGGGUUUAAAGGGAGCGUAGAUGGAUGUUUAAGUCAGUUGUGAAAGUUUGCGGCUCAACCGUAAAAUUGCAGUUGAUACUGGAUGUCUUGAGUGCAGUUGAGGCAGGCGGAAUUCGUGGUGUAGCGGUGAAAUGCUUAGAUAUCACGAAGAACUCCGAUUGCGAAGGCAGCCUGCUAAGCUGCAACUGACAUUGAGGCUCGAAAGUGUGGGUAUCAAACAGG
RNAcentral lists this ribosomal RNA (698 nucleotides) under uncultured Bacteroidales bacterium. Its description in RNAcentral is "bacterial SSU rRNA". It matches the Rfam family "Bacterial small subunit ribosomal RNA", at positions 82 to 776 of the family's 1533-position model. Lineage: Bacteria; Pseudomonadati; Bacteroidota; Bacteroidia; Bacteroidales. The record is from RNAcentral.